UACGGAGGGUGCAAGCGUUGUUCGGAAUUAUUGGGCGUAAAGGGCGCGUAGGCGGUAAUGUAAGUCAGAUGUGAAAUACUCCGGCUCAACCAGAGAACAGCAUCUGAAACUGCAUAACUAGAGUACAGAAGAGGGAAACGGAAUUCCCGGUGUAGAGGUGAAAUUCGUAGAUAUCGGGAGGAACACCAGUGGCGAAGGCGGUUUCCUGGUCUGAUACUGACGCUGAGGCGCGAAAGCGUGGGGAGCAAACAGG
RNAcentral lists this ribosomal RNA (253 nucleotides) under uncultured bacterium. Its description in RNAcentral is "partial 16S ribosomal RNA". It matches the Rfam family "Bacterial small subunit ribosomal RNA", at positions 524 to 776 of the family's 1533-position model. RNAcentral also lists the same sequence under 1 other name. The record is from RNAcentral.